Molecule: non-coding RNA, 46 nt
Organism: Volvox carteri f. nagariensis
Lineage: Eukaryota; Viridiplantae; Chlorophyta; Chlorophyceae; Chlamydomonadales; Volvocaceae
Source: Rfam
AACCCGGUGUUUUUCAACACCACCAUCAAUUUGAAUGCCUCUGGGU